RNAcentral lists this ribosomal RNA (497 nucleotides) under uncultured bacterium. Its description in RNAcentral is "partial 16S ribosomal RNA". It matches the Rfam family "Bacterial small subunit ribosomal RNA", at positions 28 to 507 of the family's 1533-position model. The record is from RNAcentral.
GAUGAACGCUGGCGGCGUGCCUAAUACAUGCAAGUCGAGCGAACAGACGAGGAGCUUGCUCCUCUGACGUUAGCGGCGGACGGGUGAGUAACACGUGGAUAACCUACCUAUAAGACUGGGAUAACUUCGGGAACCCGGAGCUAAUACCGGAUAAUAUAUUGAACCGCAUGGUUCAAUAGUGAAAGACGGUUUUGCUGUCACUUAUAGAUGGAUCCGCGCCGCAUUAGCUAGUUGGUAAGGUAACGGCUUACCAAGGCAACGAUGCGUAGCCGACCUGAGAGGGUGAUCGGCCACACUGGAACUGAGACACGGUCCAGACUCCUACGGGAGGCAGCAGUAGGGAAUCUUCCGCAAUGGGCGAAAGCCUGACGGAGCAACGCCGCGUGAGUGAUGAAGGUCCUCGGAUCGUAAAACUCUGUUAUUAGGGAAGAACAAAUGUGUAAGUAACUAUGCACGUCUUGACGGUACCUAAUCAGAAAGCCACGGCUAACUACGUG